CCUGGCUCAGAUUGAACGCUGGCGGCAUGCUUUACACAUGCAAGUCGAACGGUAACAGGUCUUCGGAUGCUGACGAGUGGCGAACGGGUGGGUAAUACAUCGGAACGUGCCUAGCAGUGGGGGAUAACUACUCGAAAGAGUAGCUAAUACCGCAUGAGAUCUACGGAUGAAAGCAGGGGACCUUCGGGCCUUGUGCUACUAGAGCGGCUGAUGGCAGAUUAGGUAGUUGGUGGGGUAAAGGCUUACCAAGCCUGCGAUCUGUAGCUGGUCUGAGAGGACGACCAGCCACACUGGGACUGAGACACGGCCCAUACUCCUACGGGAGGCAGCAGUGGGGAAUUUUGGACAAUGGGCGAAAGCCUGAUCCAGCAAUGCCGCGUGCAGGAUGAAGGCCCUCGGGUUGUAAACUGCUUUUGUACGGAACGAAAA
Molecule: ribosomal RNA, 429 nt
Filed under: uncultured Comamonas sp.
Lineage: Bacteria; Pseudomonadati; Pseudomonadota; Betaproteobacteria; Burkholderiales; Comamonadaceae
Description: bacterial SSU rRNA
Rfam family: Bacterial small subunit ribosomal RNA
Source: RNAcentral